CCCGCAGGUCUUGUAUCCACGGUUGUAAGUGCCCAAGGUAAUUAGAACAGGAUCUUAAACUUGCAGCCAGCCAACUGAAUCAUUAAAAAACAACCACAAAGAAAACAGACACCAGCAGUAACACCCCAGAGACAAAUCAAGAACCCAAAGUAUAUUUUGCAGGAAGGGCUAUAGUUCUUGAAGUCUGGAAAUACUUGU
This is an unclassified non-coding RNA of Bos indicus x Bos taurus (hybrid cattle), 198 nucleotides long. Lineage: Eukaryota; Metazoa; Chordata; Mammalia; Artiodactyla; Bovidae. The record is from Ensembl.